CAAUAGCGUAUAUUAAAGUUGUUGCAGUUAAAAGGCUCGUAGUUGGAUUUCUGGUAGGAGUGACCGUUCCGAACUUGAUUGUUCGUGUAUUGUGUUUUCUCCAGCCAUCCUUGUGGAGAACUUUUCUUGCAUUAAUUUGUAGGGAUUGGGACCCGCAUCGUUUACUGUGAAAAAAUUAGAGUGUUUAAAGCAGGCAAUCGCUUGAAUACAUUAGCAUGGAAUAAUAAGAUAGGACUUUGGUACUAUUUUGUUGGUUUGCAUACCAAAUUAAUGAUCAACAGGAACAGUUUGAGGAUAUUCGUAUGAACAUGUCAGAGGUGAAAUUCUUGGAUUUUGAUCAGACGAACUACUGCGAAAGCAUUUAUCAAGGAUGUUUUCAUUAA
This 383-nucleotide ribosomal RNA is filed under the name uncultured eukaryote. RNAcentral describes it as "partial 18S ribosomal RNA". It matches the Rfam family "Eukaryotic small subunit ribosomal RNA", at positions 592 to 976 of the family's 1831-position model. The record is from RNAcentral.